Molecule: long non-coding RNA, 1129 nt
Organism: Sphaeramia orbicularis (orbiculate cardinalfish)
Lineage: Eukaryota; Metazoa; Chordata; Actinopteri; Kurtiformes; Apogonidae
Exons: 3
Source: RefSeq, a predicted model, not a curated record
AAAGCCACAUUCAUCUCAGUCUCCUCCUCAUCAACCAUUUGGUUAAGUCCUGAAAGCUCCGCUGUCAAUUUCUCCCAUAACAUCGGGGCUACGUGGACGAAAACGACAGCGGCUUUCACAGGAUGGAUGCCAGAGAAGAGACGCUGAACCUCCUGAACAGGAUAUGGAUCAAGCUGCAGCAUCUGCCAAAUGCCAACCCCAUAGAGUUGGGAGCUUUUUUCAUCCUCUUAACCUUCAUAUUGGUGGUUCUCCUUAUGAUGAUUCUGACCUGUGUGACCUGCUGCUGUUGUCGCAAGGCCAGGAAUAAGGGAUCGAACAUUUGAGAAUGUGUUCUCCACACAAGGAUUUUUUUACCCAGUCAUUCUUUGGACACCUGUCAGGAUAAAUGAGGCAUCCCCGUACAGAGGACAGUACUUGGAACACCAAAACAGGAUGUUGUUUUGUGCCUUUUCUGCAGAGUGACAAUAGACUUUUACUGAAAGUAAUGGUAACUAAAUAGGAUAUCUGAGAUAUCUAUCUCAGUGGGCAACAGAGCGUCAUUCUGGGUGUGUUCUGUGGCACUGCAGGGGCCCAACCCUUAUAAAACAAGGCAGAUGCCAAACACAGUGCAGGAUGUCCUGACUCAGCUGCCAAACACACCUGUUAACACUUCCAGGUUUUCAGGAGAGUCAACAUUCCUGGGAGCAUCUCGAAGAGCACCAAUACUGUCUCUGACCCACUGUUUUUUUUGUAAUGUAGGCACAAACAUGGAAUGAAAGACAAAAAAUGUGUUGGACAAAUAAAUAACACAGACUGACCAAAGCGAGUUACACAGGAGAUAUUAGUGGUCAAGCUGGUUCUUUAAUGUCUUCCUUGCGUAAUUCAUCAGGAAUGAGGUUUGGCACGUAGACUAAAGGUGGCCUUCCCUCCUGAGGGGGAAGAGUUUGUUGUUUUUGUAAAGCUACAAGUGUUCCCUGGCAUAAAACAAAGACAGAGAGACCAAGUGUGCCCUCUGCUGGACAGAAAUUGAAGUGCAUGUGACAUGAGUGCAAAGACAACAGAAAAGAAAUUGUGUAAAUAUUGUGAUGCCUUGACUCAGCACUUUUACCUACUAUGAUUUCUAUGCAAUAAACAAAAAGGGAAUUAUGUG